This 104-nucleotide small nuclear RNA is filed under the name Macaca nemestrina (pig-tailed macaque). Lineage: Eukaryota; Metazoa; Chordata; Mammalia; Primates; Cercopithecidae. The record is from RNAcentral.
GUGCUUCCUUCAGCAGUACAUAUACUAAAAUUGGAACAAUACAGAGAUUAGCGUGGCCCCUACGCAAGGAUGACAUGCAAAUUUGUGAAGCAUUUCAUAUAUAA